AGUAGCUGUGCAGGUGGGACCCAUCGUUCACAUUGUAGAAGGACAGCUCUCCAGCUUCAAAAUCCAGGAAGAUGCCCAUGUGGCUCGGAGGCUCGGCCAGUGUGACGGGAGUUGGGGGGAACGCAGCAGGGCCUGGAGCAGGUGCUGCUUCUCCUCCAUCAGGAAGAGGCCCGUCUUCUCAAACUCGACCAUGAUGCGCUCCCUCCGCUCCUUCACCUUCUCCUGUGUGGGGGUGGGUGGGCUCCUGGAGGUGAGCCCCACCCAGGGACCUACCACCCCUAGUGCCUGCUUUCACACCAGCUUGGAAGGGCUGCUCUGGCAACAAUGGCACAUCUCCCCUGGAUCCCAGUGACCCACAGAAAACCAGCCAAGCAGGCAGGGCGGGGAGCCAGGGGUCACACAGAGGCCCCCCUGAAUGUCACUGGGGCAUAAUUUUACUCAGCCCCAAAUGGCAACAUCCAAGUGCCUGUGUGCUCUUGCUUGCUGCAUCUUUCAAACGGCCAGCCUGUGCUGAGGGCACCGUUCUCAGUCCUGAUUUGGCAGGAAUUCUGUGAAAAUCAUUGCCUUUCUGGGGUCCUGUGUUCUCAUCCACACAGGACAGUGAUUUCCCCCUCAAGGGGCUUCACAGGUUGGGAGGCCUGUGGGGGCCCAGCUGGGCCUUCCCCGCCCUGCCUGGCUGCCGCGUGUGGUGGCCCUGGCACCUACCUGCCACUCGGCCAAGGUCUGUUCCUCCUUGGCUUGCAGCUCUUCGGUCUUCGUCAUCUCCUCUCGAAGGUGCUCCAUGUCCUCCUCCAGCUUCAACUGUGGUGCACCCAAACCAUGGGAUUUGGGGGUCAGUGGGCCCCCUGCAUGCCCCACAUCCAGACAGUGCCCUCUGAAGCAGAACCACCCUGAACCAUCCUAAUGAGGUGCAAGGGAUGGAAAUAUGCCACCCCAAAAUCUGUCCCUUUGGCAGAAGGAUUAUUUUGAGCUGGAGGCAAUUAAGAAUCAACAGAUGCAGAAAGAUGCCUUCCAGGGGCUCCCAUUAUCUGACCAGAAGCAUCUCAUUGGGGAUAGUUUGUGCCCACGAAGAAGAUGGCAAGUUGGUGUCAAGAUGAACCUACACGACCCCCUCCCCCUUCUUCCUUUACUUUCCCCCUAUAUAUAUUUCUGCUAUCACCUGAAUGUUUGUGUCCCUUCGACACCCAAAGUCAUAUAUGGAAGCCCUAACUCCCGAUGUGACGGCAGAGGUGGGGCCUUUGGGAGGCGACGAGGUCAUGACAGUGGGACCCACAUGGAUGGGAUUACUGCCGUUACAAAAGAGACCCGAGAGAGGACAGCAAGACGCUGGGCAUGUGUACGCCAGAAAGGGACUCUUACCUGACUGUGCUCAUCUCUGACGUCAGCCUCCAACUGUGAGCAAUACAUUGCUGCUUAUAAGCCACCCAGUCUGUGGAAUUCUGUUACUGAGACACCUUCCCACAGUCUGCCACCCUUGGGAGCCUGCAACCUUUACCUUUGUCCUGUUGCUUUUCUCCAAAUGCACUGUUCUUUGUUAAGAUGCUAUACAAGCCCAAGUUCUAAUUGACUUUUUUUUUUAACUGUUGCUGCAGUUUCUCCCAAGUGACUGGCAUAGCAGACAUAUGUUAGUAAAUGGUUUGCCUUUCUCUUCAA
Molecule: long non-coding RNA, 1653 nt
Organism: Bubalus bubalis (water buffalo)
Lineage: Eukaryota; Metazoa; Chordata; Mammalia; Artiodactyla; Bovidae
Exons: 2
Source: RefSeq, a predicted model, not a curated record